GAUGAACGCUGACAGAAUGCUUAACACAUGCAAGUCGAUGGGGAAGUGGUGCUUGCACCAUGGCAACCAUGGCGGACGGGUGAGUAACGCGUAAGGGACUUACCUGCAGGACUGGGAUAACAGGGGGAAACUCCUGACAAGACCGGAUAAUGUCAUGGAGCUGCAUGGCUUUAUGAUGAAAGGAGACGCCUGCGGAGAGCCUUGCGUCCUAUUAGCUAGUUGGUGAGGUAAUGGCUCACCAAGGCGAAGAUAGGGAGCCGGCCUGAGAGGGUGGACGGCCACAAGGGGACUGAGAUACGGCCCUUACUCCUACGGGAGGCAGCAGUGGGGAAUAUUGGACAAUGGGGGCAACCCUGAUCCAGCAAUUCUGUGUGCACGAAGAAGGUUUUCGGAUUGUAAAGUGCUUUCAGCAGGGAAGAAGUAAGUGACGGUACCUGCAGAAGAAGCGACGGCUAAAUACGUG
Molecule: ribosomal RNA, 463 nt
Filed under: uncultured bacterium
Lineage: Bacteria
Description: partial 16S ribosomal RNA
Rfam family: Bacterial small subunit ribosomal RNA
Source: RNAcentral